RNAcentral lists this ribosomal RNA (465 nucleotides) under Vreelandella stevensii. RNAcentral's name for it is "partial 16S ribosomal RNA". It matches the Rfam family "Bacterial small subunit ribosomal RNA", at positions 338 to 795 of the family's 1533-position model. The record is from RNAcentral. Lineage: Bacteria; Pseudomonadati; Pseudomonadota; Gammaproteobacteria; Oceanospirillales; Halomonadaceae.
CCUCCGGGUGGCAGCAGUGGGGAAUAUUGGAAAAUGGGCGAAAGCCUGAUCCAGCCAUGCCGCGUGUGUGAAGAAGGCCUUCGGGUUGUAAAGCACUUUCAGUGGGGAAGAAAGCCUUGGGGCUAAUACCCUCGAGGAAGGACAUCACCCACAGAAGAAGCACCGGCUAACUCCGUGCCAGCAGCCGCGGUAAUACGGAGGGUGCGAGCGUUAAUCGGAAUUACUGGGCGUAAAGCGCGCGUAGGCGGUCUGAUAAGCCGGUUGUGAAAGCCCCGGGCUCAACCUGGGAACGGCAUCCGGAACUGUCAGGCUAGAGUGCAGGAGAGGAAGGUAGAAUUCCCGGUGUAGCGGUGAAAUGCGUAGAGAUCGGGAGGAAUACCAGUGGCGAAGGCGGCCUUCUGGACUGACACUGACGCUGAGGUGCGAAAGCGUGGGUAGCAAACAGGAUUAGAUACCCGAGUAGUC